Salvia miltiorrhiza (redroot sage) is the source of this 737-nucleotide long non-coding RNA. RefSeq lists it as uncharacterized. The transcript has 3 exons. The record is from RefSeq and is a predicted model, not a curated record. NCBI's taxonomy places the organism in Eukaryota, Viridiplantae, Streptophyta, Magnoliopsida, Lamiales, Lamiaceae.
AUAUUGAUCUGCAAGUGAUUGAACACCAUGUGGAUGUUAGUGAUGAAAGUAUGGGAUUUCACAAGCACGAGAAAAAGAUGAAGGAUAAAUCUGAGUAUACCAACAAGAGAAAGAUCAAGACUUUUAUUCUGCAGGUUUGCAAUCACCAUAACUUCGUUUCUGAACUCUUCGAGACCCUGAUGUGAGCAUCUGGAUAAUCUUUUGACUGCGAUUUCUUCUCCAGAUGGCAUGUUCCCCUGCUUAUGCAUGUUAGUUUACAAGUAAGGCAAGUAUAUUUUUGUUGUUCGACUUCAGCUUUUUCAUUUAGUACAUUACCUUGUAAACAGGACCGAAUCCUCCAACUCCAAUCAUGUUUUCCGUGGAGAAAUUAUUUGUUGCUUGCAUAAUAGUAGCCAUUUUGAUCACAGGGAAAUUCAUAAGUCAAUGUCAUUCUGGGCUUCCAUCUGUAGGACUAAAGGGGCACAGACACCAGAUAAGGACAGAGAUGUCAUCCGGCUGCUGUUUCCUUGCUCUUGCAGUGUGGAUUUUCAAGUUUAUAGGUAAAUUCGUGGGUGAUAACUUUACAGUUACACCAUACUAAUUUACACAACACAUAUAAAAUGUACUUCAACAUUUCCUUCAAUUUCCUUCACUCCCUCUUGGUUCUACUUAAUAGCAUAUCAUGUACACACGCAUGUCAUACUAGUCAUGUCAUUAACUCAAUCAGCUUUAUAUUUAUGAUGGUUACUUUAUCACAA